GUGUCAGCAGCCGCGGUAAUACGGAGGGUGCGAGCGUUAUCCGGAAUUACUGGGUUUAAAGGGUGCGUAGGCGGCGCAGUAAGUCAGGAGUGAAAGUUUGCGGCUCAACCGUAAAAUUGCUUUUGAUACUGCUGUGCUGGAAUUAGGAUGAGGUCAGCGGAAUGUGGCAUGUAGCGGUGAAAUGCAUAGAUAUGCCAUAGAACACCAAUUGCGAAGGCAGCUGGCUAGACCUGGAUUGACGCUGAGGCACGAAAGCGUGGGGAGCGAACAGGAUUAGAAACCCUGGUAGUCC
Molecule: ribosomal RNA, 292 nt
Filed under: uncultured bacterium
Lineage: Bacteria
Description: partial 16S ribosomal RNA
Rfam family: Bacterial small subunit ribosomal RNA
Source: RNAcentral